This 345-nucleotide unclassified non-coding RNA is filed under the name soil metagenome. RNAcentral's name for it is "partial contains 5.8S ribosomal RNA, internal transcribed spacer 2, and large subunit ribosomal RNA". The stretch from base 1 to 120 matches the Rfam family "5.8S ribosomal RNA", at positions 35 to 154 of the family's 154-position model. The record is from RNAcentral.
GAUGAAGAACGUAGCGAAAUGCGAUAAGUAAUGUGAAUUGCAGAACUCAGUGAAUCAUCGAGUCUUUGAACGCACAUUGCGCCCCCUGGUAUUCCGGGGGGCAUGCCUGUCCGAGCGUCAUUGCUGCCCUCAAGCACGGCUUGUGUGUUGGGCCUCCGUCCUCCUCCCGGGGGACGGGCCCGAAAGGCAGCGGCGGCACCGCGUCCGGUCCUCGAGCGUAUGGGGCUUCGUCACCCGCUCUUGUAGGCCCGGCCGGCGCUUGCCGACACAUCAAUCUUUUUUCCAGGUUGACAUCGGAUCAGGUAGGGAUACCCGCUGAACUUAAGCAUAUCAAUAAGCGGAGGA